RNAcentral lists this unclassified non-coding RNA (418 nucleotides) under soil metagenome. Its description in RNAcentral is "partial contains 5.8S ribosomal RNA, internal transcribed spacer 2, and large subunit ribosomal RNA". The stretch from base 1 to 118 matches the Rfam family "5.8S ribosomal RNA", at positions 35 to 154 of the family's 154-position model. The record is from RNAcentral.
GAUGAAACGCAGCGAAAUGCGAUAAGUAAUGUGAAUUGCAGAUUUCAGUGAAUCAUCGAAUCUUUGAACGCACCUUGCGCCUUGUGGUAUUCCACAAGGCAUGCCCGUUUGAGUAUCAUUAAAUCAUCAACUCUAAAACCUUUGUGGUUUUUUUAGAGCUUGGUCUUGAGGGUUUUGCAGGCUUUUUUUUUCGAGUCUGCUCCCUUUAAAUGCAUUAGCGAGACUUCCCUAUGCUGAACCGUCUCUUUGACGUGAUAAUUAUCUGCGUCGAAUUUUGGUUCUCGUUGGGCUUGCUUCUAAUCGUCUGUUAAAGACAAAACGGAUUUGGGUGCAUAUAUGCGCCUUUUUCCAAAACCUUUUUUGAUCUCAAAUCGGGUAGGACUACCCGCUGAACUUAAGCAUAUCAAUAAGCGGAGGA